ACAGUCUAAUACUGCCCACUGAUAUAACAUUAAAGGGCUGCAGUAUAUUGACUGUACAAAGGUAGCAUAAUCAUUAGUCUUUUAAUUGAAGACUUGUAUGAAAGAUUUGAUGAGAUAUAAACUGUCUCUUAGUUAUUUAUAGAAAUUAAUUUUUUAGUUAAAAAGCUAAAAUAUUUAUAAAAGACGAGAAGACCCUAUAGAGUUUUAUAAUUAAAAUUAUAAUAAUUGAAUAUAUAAAUUGAAGUUAAAAUAAUUUUAUUUAUUUUAUUGGGGUGAUAGAAAAAUUUAUUUAACUUUUUUUAAAAAUUAAACAUAUAUAAGUGAAAAUAUGAUCCAAUAGAUAUUGAUUAAAAGAAAAAAUUACCUUAGGGAUAACAGCGUAAUUUUUUUUUUUAGUACAAAUAAAAAGAAAAGUUUGCGACCUCGAUGUUGGAUUAAGAUAAAAUUUAAAUGUAAAAGUUUAAAAUUUUGAUCUGUUCGAUCAUUAAAAUCUUACAUGAUCUGAGUUCAAACCGGGGG
RNAcentral lists this ribosomal RNA (519 nucleotides) under Telchinia issoria (yellow coaster). RNAcentral describes it as "partial 16S ribosomal RNA". It matches the Rfam family "Bacterial large subunit ribosomal RNA", at positions 1847 to 2622 of the family's 2925-position model. Lineage: Eukaryota; Metazoa; Arthropoda; Insecta; Lepidoptera; Nymphalidae. The record is from RNAcentral.